GGGGAGACCGCACUGCACACCUGCAUUCAACAGGGACACAGAACGGCACGCGCCGUGCACGGGUCUCUCUCAGCUGCCAGGUAGGGCUAUGCGGGGACUUCUCCAGUUAAACUUACAGGGAAGCCUGCGAAAGUCAGCCAGUCCCACCGAUAAAUUCACUGCUGACCAAGCAAAACUCAGCAGCCCUUACAUCUGACUGAUGUCCAUAUGAGAGAAAAGAGAGGAGGACUUCAGAGACACCCACAGCUCCAACGACAGAGUGCAGCAUUUCAGCAGGAUGGCAUCCUAUAAUGUUAAACGCACAAUUAAAACAAUCGCUAGAGGUGAAAAGAAGCAGGGAGAUGAACACCAUAACCAGGAGGGGAAAAGGUCAGUGGAGACCUACCUGGAUGUAGUGGGAAUGUGGGAAUGAGCAGACGAGGACUUAAAGCAGCUGAUAUUUCAGAGACUUGAAGCAAAAGAGAAACAAAAAGGUGAAUGGCUGGGGAUUUUAACAAAAAUUCCAAACUAUUAAAAAGAAUAAAACACAAAUUCUAAAGCUGAGAAAUAUAAUAUGGGAAAUAAAAAAAUUUACUGGACUGGCUUACAACAGCUUGGAUAUGAGAGAAGAAAAGAAUAGUGCCUUUGGAUGCAGGGCAAUAGAAAUUAUCCAAAUGAAGAACAGGGAAAAACUGACAAUAAUUCUAGAUGUGUGUGUGCCUGAUAGCAGAGCUUGAAAAUACACGAAGAAAAUGGCAUAACUGGUGGAGAAAUAGACAAAAUCCACCAAGACAAUUCCAUGGCUUCAACAUUUCUCUUUCAGUGAUUGGUAGAACCAACAGACCAAAAUUUGGUGAGAAUAAAGCAUAUUUGAACAUCAUGGCAGAAAGAAAGUAAGUUAUUUUCAGAAAUCAUGCUGGAACUGGAUAUCCAUGUGGAAAAAAGGAACCUCAACUUCCACUUCCUACUCACUGGGUUGACUUGUGUCCUCCAAAGGUUCACACCCACCUGGGACUUCAGAGAGUGACUAUUUGGAAUUAGAGGCUUUGCAGAUGUAAUUGAAGAUCUUAAGAUGACUCAUCCUGAAUUUCGGAUGAAUCCUAAAUCCAGUGACUGAUGUCCAUAUGAGAGAAAAGAGAGGAGGACUUCAGAGAAACACAUAGGAAGAAACCCACUAAAAUGGCUAUUUUUUAAAUUCUUAUACUUUAAGUUCUGGGAUACAUGUGCAGAACGUGCAGGACUAAGCCAGUGGAUCACAAACAUCCUGGAGAGCAGUGACUCUGUGAUUCCAUCACAAGAAUAUGAAGGACUGAGAAGAUCUCCAGCUCUGCCCAUUGCACCUUCCCAUUGAGAAGCAGCAUGGCACCCUGGUGGCAGGGGCUGAUACUCAGCCGGGCCAGGGUGCUCUCCUGUUAACCAUAACCAAGCUCACAGGACAUGGGAUGAGCCCACUGUGUGACACAGGGAGCGGGACACAGUCUGUUAAGUCUUGCACAGCCAUGCUCUGCCACGCAGGCAGGCCUUUCCUUGGCCUCCCUCUCCCUGUUCGUGCUCAUGUGAACAUCCACCUACGUGGAUAGACUGGGCUUUGGUUCAUUAUUGCUCUGUGAAUUCCUCGAACUUCCGCAUCUGCCCAACCUCCCCCACCCCAUUGUUUUCAUUGUGUUUCACCAAAUGGAAAUUCUAGAGUAAGCAUGUGAGUCCUCUCCCAAACUUGUUCACUGUUGAGAGUGCUAAAAUGCUAACCCCAGAUGCUAACUGAGGGGUAGGGUUACCUUAUCUUUAGAGCACUGCGAAUUGUAUGUUAAGUGGAACUUAAUGAAAAAAUAGUUAAUUGACCAACAUGAAUAUCCCCUGAACAGAAUCUCCCCUGAACAGAAUCCUACAAUGAAACUAAGGGAGAUAAAUAAAGCUGUUUACCUGAAAGCUCUCUCUAAUCAAGAUCCUUUGAAAUUUAUAAAACAUGGUCAAUAUUUGCACUGGACUUUGUAAAAAUAAAGCUUGAUAAGAGAAG
Molecule: long non-coding RNA, 1993 nt
Organism: Homo sapiens (human)
Lineage: Eukaryota; Metazoa; Chordata; Mammalia; Primates; Hominidae
Product: long intergenic non-protein coding RNA 3082
Source: Ensembl